This 4270-nucleotide long non-coding RNA is filed under the name Cicer arietinum (chickpea). RNAcentral's name for it is "long non-coding RNA (CARI_LNC002934)". Lineage: Eukaryota; Viridiplantae; Streptophyta; Magnoliopsida; Fabales; Fabaceae. The record is from RNAcentral.
AUUGCUAGGCCCUCUCUAUUAUUGUCCAUGUCAAUGAAAUUGAAGGACUUCUUUAAUUAGAAGUGGAGGAUUUUCACCACGUAAGCUCCAAGGUAAAUAUUAUCCCUUCAUUCUCUUUCUUUAAAUUUUUAAAUAUUUUUUUCUAAAAAAUAUUAAAAAGUGCCCUAAGCACAUUUGAUAAAACACCAAAUAUAAAAAUAUAGUAUUAAAAGUAGUACAUUCAACACUUUAAAAAAUAUAAUAUAAUUUUUUCAGCAUAAAACUUUUAUAAUAUUAUUUUUUUAAUUUGUUACCAAGUAUGACUUUUUUUUAUAAAAAAAUAUAACCUAAGUACCUGGAAAUCCCAAGAAACCAUUUCUUAUUAAAAUAGGUCAAAGUCUACUCAUAAAUUUUUCUUGUAUGUCUUUUUCUUUAAUUAAUAUAUUAUAUAUAGAUGGAGAAAAAAAAAAAGUGAGUGGAAAAAGAUUUUACAAGAGUAGAUGAAGUAGAGUUUCUAGUUGUGGUGGUUGUUUGUAGACCAUACAUUAAUGUCUUGUGUGAUAUUUUUCCUCACAAUUGUUUUGUACAGUGUUGACCCCUAGUUUGUGAAUUAUCUCCAAAGUACACAAUGACAGGGCCUCCUUCACUGUGCCUGUUCUACCCAUUUAUUAGAAACCAACAAAUACUUUCUCAUUGGGCUUUUUAAAGUGGACAAUUAUUAAUUUCACCUUUUCCUUCUAAAUAGUUUCACCUAAUUUUUUUAUUUUUUUCACUUUGGAUAAAAUCUCUCACUUUCAUCUCCUUAUGUUAUAUCUUUGUCUUGACCUUCAUGUAAGCUUCCUACCUUGUUGGGGACCUUAUGAAGUGACAACAAAGAGAUGAAAUCUAUGUGCCAGUAAUAAAAAUAUAUACAAAGGCCAAAUCAUCUACAGUUUCAUGUGAAAUAAAAGGAAGAAAAAAAGGAAAUAGACAAUUAGAGAUUCUCUAAAUUUGCCCUAACAAUUUUAGAUUGUGUCACUUUUGGCUAAAAACUUUAUAAUAAUUUUUUUCAUCGAAAACUAUCCCUCUCUUUUGGAUGUUUUCUUAUUAUCACUUGUUGAAUUUAGAUCCUCUAUAACUAUUCUAUAGUGUAUUAGCACAAUAGAACAAUAAUAGAAAUUCUUUUUCUAUUUAGAGAGUUUGAAACUUAUUUCUUUUAAUCAAUAUACUAUUAGAAAAUUUUAAAAUAGCAAUUAAAGUUUGAGAUAGAAAAAGAUAAAAUUCAUAUUUAAUUUAUAAUUGUUAGAAAUAUCAAAUUUGAUAAUCAAAUUUGAUAAUCAAAUUUAAUUUUUUUGAACUAAUUACAAGUGCCUGAAUUUACUUAUAAAAAAAUUAUAUUAAAUUUAAUAAUUCUUUUUAAUCCUCCAUGUUAUUUUAACAUCUUCUAAUAGUGAUUGAGAGAUCAUGUUAGUUAUCUCUCUCUAAUAGAGUAUGUGUAUUAUCUUUUAAGUAUAUGUCAAAUCAUGUUGGUUAUCUCUCUACUACAUCAUCUCUUUCUAUUCAUUCAUAUUUUUGUCUCAAAUUCAUGUGAUCCUCCUAAUUUGGGGGUUAAGUUAACUGGUUAUAGAAAAAACACAUGAUGACCCAAGUAGUGGUCUCCUUUGUGUUCCACACUUUCCUUUCUUUCUAAUCAAUCAUCAAGAUGAGUCACAUGCUUCCUUGGCUUCCUUCCCUUCAUCCCCUCUACCUUUCCUUGUCCCAACUUACAAGCAACUUUCCAAAUGUAGGAUCUAACACAUAUUUAAGCAUGCAAUAAUGCUCAUUCCACAUGCAAGUUUAUGAGUCAUUUUUCAUUCUUCAAUGCUAUCAUUUAAAUCAAUAUACCAACCGAAUAUUUUCAUUGUUAACUAUUAAAGGUAAAAUGCUCAUAUAUUUUUAUAUAUAUUUUAAAUCUUCACACUUUCCGGCAAACACCAAAAAAACUAUUAUAGUAUCAUUCGGUUAAUAAUAUAAUUCUAAUUUUAACUUUCUAGACACAUGAUGCAACUACUAGCUAGUAAUAAGCAUUAAUUAACAACUUUUUGAAUCUUUUUAUAUACAUAUGUUUGUCUCAACUUUUUCGUACCUUUGAUUGCUCUUUCUUUAUAACAGAGACAGUUUUAAUAAGCUGAUUAGCCGGUUAGUGUUGGGAAAUCACUUGAAAUUUCUAAGUUUUUGGAGAAUUCCACUAUUAUGAAGUGAAAGUAUUUUGAAAUGAAAGAAAAUUAAUACGCACAAAGCUACAUAUAUUUACAGAGUCAUGCCAUAUCUAUAAAUAUAGAGAGACUUGUAAGAUGUUAAGUAACUCUAUUGUUAAGUGAUUAUGUGGAGAGGCUCACUUUUGUUUGAGUGAUCAUUUCUAAGAGAAAAAUCACAAUUUUUUUUAUUUUUUUUAUGUCAAAUAUCAAGUACAAGAAAAUAUUUAUAAAUACAAAUAGAUUAUUCUAUACACAGUUUUUGGAGCUUUUUAAUUAAUACAUACUUUUAGAUACAUUUUACAUUUUUUUCUGUAAUUAAGACACCUAUAGAUUCUUACAUAGAAAUUUUAAGUAAUUAUAGAUUUAUUGAAUUUCAAAUUUUUAAUGACGUUUUUCGCCUUAAUAUGAAAUUUUCUUCUUCGUUACAAGCAUGGCUUGCAGUGUUUGAAUGUUUUCAAAGGUCAAUUGCUUUGUGAAAAUAUUUGCAAUUUUAUCUUGAAUCUUCACAUAUUUAAGCUCACCUUUUUUGACAAUGUUUUCUCUUAAAUCUUUUUCUUGUGCAAAUUUUUUGUCUGUACAAAUAUUGUAGCUUCCUUAUAUGGCAGAUGAAAUUCCUUCCAUAAUCUCGAUAGUUAAAUGGUAUGACAAAUGCAUGAUGUCAUUGUCACGUACUCUAACUCACAUGUUGAAAGUAUGAUAAUAGGUUGCUUCUUUGAGCUACACAGAAAAGCACAAACACAAUCACCCAUGAAAAAUGUAAGAGUUAAAUAAAUUUUUAGUUCUAAAAAAGUUCAAAGUUUUUGUUUGAGUCUCUAUAAAAAAUUCUUAACUUUUUAGUCCCCAAAAAAUUAUUGAUUUUCCUUUUAGUUCAUACUUUUUUGUCAACUCAAGUGUAUCUUUCUAAUUUUUUUCAUUUUUUUUGCGGACAUCUUUAAGACAUUAUAAAUAUCUUCUUUACAAAUAUUUAGAACUUUUAAUCAGAACAUAAUUAAGUAUGAAUAUUUUAAGCAUUUGGUGCUUAAAAAUUCAUAUUUAAUUUAUAUAUUGUUUAAAAAGAACUAAAGUUUUGUGCGGGAGGUUUUUAUAAUAUUCUAAAUAUGUUUGCAAACAAUCAUUUAAAAAUUAUAAGAGUGCACAUGAGUUUACUUAAAAACGGGGACCAAAUACGAAAAUUGGAAAUUAUUAGGGACUAAAAAGUUAAGAAAUAUUUUAUAAGGACUAAAAACAAAAUGUUGAAAUUUUAUAAGGACUAAAAACUUAUUUAACCCAAAAUAUAAAGUCGCUAGGGCUCUUUUUAAUAUCAAUAUUUCCAAUAAAGUAGCUAAUACAAAAUUCAAAAGAGUUUAAAAUCAUUAGAAGAAGAAUAGUCACCCAUGAAAAAUAUAAAGUGACUAGUGCUCUUUUUAUCAUCAAUAUCUCCUUCAAAGUCGCUAUUGCAAAAUGUAACACCACAUUAUCUAGAGUUAAUGAUUUUGAUGAUAAUUGAGAUUAUCAUUAGUUUAUAUUUACCGUAUAUUUAAAUUAAAUGUUUGAUGUUUAGUAUAAAGGAAAAGGGUUUGUAGAACCACAAGGAAAAAAGGAAAAACUAUGAAAUUGUCUAAAACCUAGAUUCAAUAUAUCAUCACCAAGUCAGAGACAAGUCUCACUGCGCAAUGGAAGAGGGGUUCUUUGAAAUCCCUUAUGGGAUCACCUAUAUACUAACUUAUUUGAUCCUUAAUAUUACCCAUCAAUAUUUAACCACUCAAAAAGCUUUAAACCUAAUACAUAUAAGAGUUCUAGAGCCAUUUUCUAGUAGGUAAUUGGAUCAUAUAUUCACUUGAGUUUCCAACUUUGUGAACACAUAUAUUAAUCCUUAAUCUUUUGUUUUCUCUUUCUAAAAUCAUUCCAUCAUCAAAGCCACGUUUGGGGAAGGACUGGAGCAAGUUAGGACCAAAACUUCUCUUUGAAGUAAACUCACUUUUAAACCAAGGUAAAGGGUUAGAGGAAAUCGAUUGGGUCAUGUGUGUUAGGUAUAUAUGACAACGAGAUUAAUGAAGAAAUUGGUAAUAUAUGGUUAAAAUGAGCAUAGAGCUAGG